CAAGUCGAGGGGCAGCAUGAACUUAGCUUGCUAAGUUUGAUGGCGACCGGCGCACGGGUGAGUAACACGUAUCCAACCUGCCGAUGACUCGGGGAUAGCCUUUCGAAAGAAAGAUUAAUACCCGAUGGCAUAGUUCUUCCGCAUGGUGGAACUAUUAAAGAAUUUCGGUCAUCGAUGGGGAUGCGUUCCAUUAGGUUGUUGGCGGGGUAACGGCCCACCAAGCCUUCGAUGGAUAGGGGUUCUGAGAGGAAGGUCCCCCACAUUGGAACUGAGACACGGUCCAAACUCCUACGGGAGGCAGCAGUGAGGAAUAUUGGUCAAUGGACGAGAGUCUGAACCAGCCAAGUAGCGUGAAGGAUGACUGCCCUAUGGGUUGUAAACUUCUUUUAUACGGGAAUAAAGUGAGGCACGUGUGCCUUUUUGUAUGUACCGUAUGAAUAAGGAUCGGCUAACUCCGUGCCAGCAGCCGCGGUAAUACGGAGGAUCCGAGCGUUAUCCGGAUUUAUUGGGUUUAAAGGGAGCGUAGGCGGACGCUUAAGUCAGUUGUGAAAGUUUGCGGCUCAACCGUAAAAUUGCAGUUGAUACUGGGUGUCUUGAGUACAGUAGAGGCAGGCGGAAUUCGUGGUGUAGCGGUGAAAUGCUUAGAUAUCACGAAGAACUCCGAUUGCGAAGGCAGCCUGCUGGACUGUAACUGACGCUGAUGCUCGAAAGUGUGGGUAUCAAACAGGAUUAGAUACCCUGGUAGUCCACACAGUAAACGAUGAAUACUCGCUGUUUGCGAUAUACAGUAAGCGGCCAAGCGAAAGCGUUAAGUAUUCCACCUGGGGAGUACGCCGGCGCGGUGAAACUC
RNAcentral lists this ribosomal RNA (850 nucleotides) under uncultured bacterium. RNAcentral describes it as "bacterial SSU rRNA". It matches the Rfam family "Bacterial small subunit ribosomal RNA", at positions 58 to 902 of the family's 1533-position model. The record is from RNAcentral.